AGAGUUUGAUCCUGGCUCAGAUUGAACGUUGGCGGCAUGCCUAACACAUGCAAGUCGAACGGAAACGAUGGGAGCUUGCUCCCAGGCGUCGAGUGGCGGACGGGUGAGUAAUGCUUAGGAAUCUGCCCAUUAGCGGGGGACAACUCGGGGAAACUCGAGCUAAUACCGCAUACGCCCUACGGGGGAAAGCGGAGGACUCUUCGGAGCUUCGCACUAAUGGAUGAGCCUAAGUCGGAUUAGCUUGUUGGUGAGGUAAAAGCUCACCAAGGCGACGAUCCGUAGCUGGUCUGAGAGGACGAUCAGCCACACUGGGACUGAGACACGGCCCAGACUCCUACGGGAGGCAGCAGUGGGGAAUAUUGCACAAUGGGCGCAAGCCUGAUGCAGCAAUGCCGCGUGUGUGAAGAAGGCCUGCGGGUUGUAAAGCACUUUCAGUAGAGAAGAAAAGCCUAGGGAUAAUACCCCUGAGUCUUGACGUUACCUACAGAAGAAGCUCCGGCUAACUCCGUGCCAGCAGCCGCGGUAAUACGGAGGGAGCGAGCGUUAAUCGGAAUUACUGGGCGUAAAGCGCGCGUAGGCGGCUUUGUAAGUCGGAUGUGAAAGCCCUGGGCUCAACCUGGGAAUUGCAUUCGAUACUGCAGAGCUAGAGUAUGGUAGAGGGAAGUGGAAUUUCCGGUGUAGCGGUGAAAUGCGUAGAUAUCGGAAGGAACACCAGUGGCGAAGGCGACUUCCUGGGCCAAUACUGACGCUGAGGUGCGAAAGCUAGGGGAGCAAACAGAAUUAGAUACUCUGGUAGUCCUAGCUGUAAACGAUGAGCACUAGGUGUU
Molecule: ribosomal RNA, 827 nt
Filed under: uncultured bacterium
Lineage: Bacteria
Description: bacterial SSU rRNA
Rfam family: Bacterial small subunit ribosomal RNA
Source: RNAcentral